GACGAACGCUGGCGGCGUGCUUAACACAUGCAAGUCGAGCGAAGUGGCGGACGGGUGAGUAACGCGUAAGCAACCUGCCCUUCAGAGGGGAUAAACAGUUGGAAACGACUGCUAAUACCGCAUACUGAUGGAGGGGAUUGCGUCGGAUUAGCUGGUUGGGGGGGUAACGGCCGACCAAGGCGAUGGUCAGUAGACGGGCUGGGAGGGUGAACGGCCACAUUGGGACUGAGACACGGCCCAGACGCCUACGGGAGGCAGCAGUGGGGAAUCUUCCGCAAUGGACGAAAGUCUGAAGGCGGACAGGCGCGUGAGUGAUGACGGCCUUCGGGUUGGAAAGCUCUGUUAAGCGGGACGCGGUACCGGAAUAGAAAGCCACGGCUAACUCCGUGCCAGCAGCCGCGGUAAUAC
This 408-nucleotide ribosomal RNA is filed under the name uncultured bacterium. RNAcentral describes it as "partial 16S ribosomal RNA". It matches the Rfam family "Bacterial small subunit ribosomal RNA", at positions 28 to 526 of the family's 1533-position model. The record is from RNAcentral.